Long non-coding RNA from Gopherus flavomarginatus (Mexican gopher tortoise), 3277 nucleotides. RefSeq lists it as uncharacterized. The record is from RefSeq and is a predicted model, not a curated record. The transcript is spliced from 4 exons. Lineage: Eukaryota; Metazoa; Chordata; Testudines; Testudinidae.
CGACAGCCGUGCGCAUGCUCCGGCUCUUAAAGCCACCCGGACUCUUUUUUUUCCUGCCCCCCCGUUCCCGGCCCCGCUGCCUCCACCCAGCCGAGGGUGGUUACGGGGGGGGCUUUGUCUGGUCAGUUUUCCUGUAGCGAGCUGGGCGUAUCGGGGGGUUGCUGGGUUGCUAGGUGAGUACACACCUCGUGUGUGUGUGUGUGUGUGUGUGUGUGUGUGUGUGUUAUGUGUGUGUGUGUGUAAGGCUGCUGUGUUAAUGCACAGUGUGUGUGUCAGUGUAAGGCUGCUGGGUGAAUACACGUGUGUGUGCGUAGGGCUGCUGUGUUCAUACACAGUGUGUGUGUGUCGGUAAGGCUGCUGGGUGAAUACACCUAUGUGUGUGUGUCAGUGACUGCUGGGUGUAUGCACGUAUGUGUGACUGCUGUGUUAUUGCACACGUGACGUUGUGUGUGUGUGUGUGUGUAGGGCUGCUGUGUUAAUGCACAGUGUGUGUGUGCCAGUGUAAAACUGCUGGGUGAAUACACAUGUGUGUGUGUGUGUGUAGGGCUGCUGUGUUAGUACACGUGUGUAUGUCAGUGUAAAGCUGCUUGGUGAAUACAAACAUAUGUGUCUCUCUGUGUGUGUAGGGCUGCUGGGUGUAUACACGUGUGUGUAAGACUAUUGUGUUAUUGCACAUGUGACGUGGGGGGGGGGUGAGCAGAAGCAGCUGAGGCAAUUGCUUAGAACUGUGACCUGCCAAGGGGCCCUGAUUUUGUGUUACCCCCAGUACCAGCCAUCUUACUGCCCGUGGUCAUUGAGAGGAGAGUCUUGGCAUGGGCUGGGCUGAGAUAUUGUUUGGUUUGUGGAAAUAAUGCAGUGAGUUUUUUAGGGGGUUGGCGAGGAGACCAAACCAUCCCUGCUCAGCCCCCACCCCUCUGGGCUAGCACCCCUUGCGUGUGUGUUCCAUCGUCCUCUAAGCUGUAAUUCCCUUGAUUGAAAAGAACAACAGAAGGAAAGGCAGGCCCCAUGAGGGGCUGGGGCCUUGCAUGAAUGAAAAUUGAGUGUGACACGCACCGUGCACGCAUGGCGUGCACAAGGACUAGUUACACACCUGAGUGUGGCUCAGGCUCCAGACACUUACAGCUCGAGUGUGUGACACGAACGCUGAGACUCAUCAUCAUACACCAGAGGUUGCGUGAGGGGGUGAGUCAUUGACAAGCCAGCUACCCUGUGACGGAUGUGUGACUCCAGCCCUUGGACGAGUGAUACCUGAGGGACAGGGUGCCUCAUGUGUGACACUAGCAUUUGGAAUAGUGCUACGCUGGCAGCGGGACGAGCUCUUGACCGAGUUGCGCACUCUUGGUCGAGUCACUUGUGCAUGACACGAGCGGUGCACUGAAUUGCCCUGUGCCUCAGUUUCUCCACUUGUAAAAUGAGGAUAGUGAUUCUUCUUUUACAUCAUUUCUCUAGGCUGUAAAAUGUUUUGGGGCAACAAUUGUUUCUCACAAUGAGUCUGAGUCUCACAACGGGGCCCUGGUCUUGGUCAGGGUCUGUGCAGCGCCUGGCACUAUUGGGCUCUGAUCUCAGUCGGUGUCUGUGCAGCACGUGGCACAAUCGGGCUCUGAUCUCAGCUGGGCCUCUCUCUGGGUGCUAUGAUAAUACUAACAAAAGGAACAAGACAACUCUGAAGAGAAACUCAAGAUUCUCAAGUUGGGGGCAGGGGUAUGGGAGCAGGAUGAUUACCCUCCACAUGCCCACCUCUCUCUCUCUCUCUCUCUGGGGAGCAGAUUCUCUAAGCCAUCCGACAGGCUGCAGUAAGCAAGGGGCUGUUCGGGGUGAGCAGAGUGGGGAGGAGAAAAGGGAAGUAGAAGCAGCAGGUGCUGGUCUUGCGUUUGCACAUAUUUCUUUCCACACCCCAGACAAAAACCGAGCCGAUCUUGCUGAUGUCAUUUCAUUUCACAUCCGGAGGAAGUGGGGGCGGGGGGGGGGGGGGCGUCCAAUACCAGCCAAAUGAGCUGAAGAUUGUUUUAAAGCAAAAAGUCAGGAGAAAAGGCGAUGCACUAGGUACUUACUGCACCUGGGUGCCAGAAUGAGAUAGACCAGUAGUUCUCUUAAACUUUUGUCCUGGUGACCCUUUCACACAGCAGGCCUCUGAGUGCAACCCCCCAUAUCAAUUAAACCACAUUUUUCUAUAUUUAACGCCAAUAUAAAUACUGGAGAUGGGGUGGAGGCUGACAGUUCGCAACCCCCCAUGUAAUAACCUUGUGAUCCCCUAAGGGGUCCUGACCCCCAGUUUGAGAACCCUUGAGAUAGAUAGAUUAGAUAGAGGGGGUGUAUGGGGAUAGAUAGAUAGAGGGGGUGUACGGAGAUAGAUAGAUAGAUAGAUAUCUAGAUAGAUAGAUAGAUAGAUAGAUAGGGGUGUAUGGGGAUAAAUAGAUUGACAGAGGGAGUGUGUGGUGAUAGAUAGACAGAUUAGAUUAGAUUAGAUUAGCUCCAGAUGUACAUGUGGGGAUAGACAGACUCGGCCUUAUCAUCCUUUUAUGCAGUGGCUGGGAGUUGAAGCCAGACAAAUUCAGACUGGAACAAAGGCACACGCACCUUUUUAACGGUGAGGGUAACAGACUGAAACAAUUGACCGGGGGCAUGGCAGAUAUUCCCUCAUUGGCCGUUUUUCAGUCAAGCUGGGAUGUUUUUCUAACCGAUCUGCUCUAGGAAUCAUUCAGAGGCAGGUCUCUGGCGGGUGCUGUACAGGUGGCCAGACUAGGUGAUCAUAGUGGGCCCUUCCAGCCUUGAAACCUGUGAAUCUGUGAUGGCGUCUGCUUGUCCAUUGCAUUGUGAAUUCCGUAUGUAAUUGACUUAUUCAUUGUUCCAUUUGGAGGCUUCCUCCCAUCAGUGCCCCUCCCUGGGCCCAGAACGAGUCACACUUGUUUUUUAUCUCCUGCCAUUUCAGACUGGUCAGCCAGAGGUUGGCAGCGGGAUUAGCGGAAGGCAUCCAGCUGGUUGGUCUCUCUUGCCGGUGAUCUGGCAGUCCCGCCGUUCAGGGCCAGCAAGUUAACCCACCCCUGCGCUGAGUUGUGUGAGGUCACUCCCGCGACAUACCUUUGAGGAUCUGGGCCAAGCUAUCUGGUACGUCUCACGCGGGAACAGGAUUCUCUUAUCUACAGAAGAGCGGAAAACCAGGACUGAACAGCAGCGGAGUCGCCCAGGUGCAAAUCAAUGGCCCGCCCGCCUUCUUUCUAAAAGGUCCGUCCGACUUUCUUCAGCGCCAGGGAGUUACAAAUAAAAUCCACAUUCUACA